This is a long non-coding RNA of Cercocebus atys (sooty mangabey), 1451 nucleotides long. NCBI's taxonomy places the organism in Eukaryota, Metazoa, Chordata, Mammalia, Primates, Cercopithecidae. The record is from Ensembl.
AAGGAACUAAGAUCAUGCAGUGUUCCCAGCACUGGUUAAUAUUAGACUAACACCUGCCCCUUGGCACAUUCGAUUGAACUGUGUUGUGGGGGAGAUACUGUCCUCCCUAAGUUCCCUGAGGACACCACCAUGUCCUUCUUGCUUAGUUCCUGGUGGGUGCUGGGUGACAGCUCAUGGGAUGAAUGCGGUGCAGGCUGUGGUUGAAGGGCUGAUGAAGGGGUGACUGUGCCGGGACCCACCUGCCCUCCCCUCUAUCUCCCUGUGCCAUGCAGGUGUGGUCAAUGGGCUGAUGGGCACGACUGUGAGACCCCAUCAUUCCCCCAGCCCACAUGACUCUGCUCUCCCAGCUCGACUGUUCACUUCAGACUUCCCUUAUGGAAGGAGUUGCCAGAUAGAGCAAGCAAAAUAUAAUGUGCCAGGCUAAACAUGUAUCAUCUCCUCAUAGUUACUGAUGAAAUGAUGUUCUUUCUGGGAUGUUCUCAGAUUGAUGUGCUUCAAGUUGUGACACUGGACAGAAUAGGCUUUUUUGGGGAAAUGCAGCACAGGACUUGCGUUGACUCCAUUCAUGCUGAGUGCCUGGUGCAGGUUCCAGAUGAACUCUGGAGCUUUGCUGGGAACGAUGAGUGGCAGUCUCUGCUGGAGACUGGAAGCUGUGAAGCCACAGACACCUGCCCAGAAGCUGGGACAUGAGCUGGUGGUGCCUGAUCACAUUACCUACUUGACAAUUACAUUAAAUGAAUAUUUUUAAACAUUCAAAGAUGAAACGUUAAAAAUGCCAAUUAGAAUAACUUCAAAAGUUCUUAAGUCAGUGCCUGGUAGAAGGCCCAGCUUUAGAAAUUAUUCUAACUGUUCCUGUUGUAGCGGUCCAGACCGGCUCUGAGAGGAGCGCCUUCUCGCUUCUGAAUGUUCACCCUUGGGAGUAGUGGGUGCUGUCGGGGCAGCUAAUGCAGGCAAUUUUCUCUACCUGUAGAGACACAAAGAAGGGUGGAUUGAGGUGGGCGGGAGCCUAUGAGUGGAAAGGCAGGUGACUCAUCAGCUCCCCGGGAAAACGUGAUGUGUGCCAGCCAUUAAAGGUGCAUUUGCAGCAGGUGGAGAAGGCAACCUGAAUCUGCAGCUUGCAUUCAUUUCCAAGCAUGAGGGGGCGUUGACAGGAGCCUCUAAACACCUUGAAGCCAUUCAUUUCAAUCUAGAAAACAAGUGGGGACAUGUAGUUCCCUGAAAAGGUAACUGGCAACCUUUAGUGUCCGAUUCUUCCUUUGCCCACGUGUGAUGCAGCGACGGUGAGUGUGGGAGCGGACGUGGCUCCUUCACCUGAUGGCGCAUCACUGUGGGAAUGGCCUGGGCCUGGCUCUCCUUGUGAGUGCCCAGGCAAAGCUGGAGUCAUUCUGUGGGGAGAGCAGGUGCAGGAUGGGCUUUCAGAAUCAUUCAGGCCUUCUUCCUCUGUACGUGUG